UACGGGGGGAGCAAGCGUUGUUCGGAUUUACUGGGCGUAAAGGGCGCGUAGGCGGUCGUGACAAGUCACUUGUGAAAUCUCCGGGCUUAACUCGGAACGGUCAAGUGAUACUGUCGGACUAGAGUACAGAAGGGGCAACUGGAAUUCUCGGUGUAGCGGUGAAAUGCGUAGAUAUCGAGAGGAACGCCUGCGGCGAAGGCGGGUUGCUGGACUGAUACUGACGCUGAGGCGCGAAAGCCAGGGGAGCGAACGGG
This 254-nucleotide ribosomal RNA is filed under the name uncultured bacterium. RNAcentral describes it as "partial 16S ribosomal RNA". It matches the Rfam family "Bacterial small subunit ribosomal RNA", at positions 524 to 776 of the family's 1533-position model. The record is from RNAcentral.